CAGAGGGGGACUGCGGAGGACAUUA
RNAcentral lists this ribosomal RNA (25 nucleotides) under Rhizoctonia solani. RNAcentral's name for it is "partial 18S ribosomal RNA". Lineage: Eukaryota; Fungi; Basidiomycota; Agaricomycetes; Cantharellales; Ceratobasidiaceae. The record is from RNAcentral.